Long non-coding RNA from Pseudopipra pipra, 237 nucleotides. RefSeq lists it as uncharacterized. NCBI's taxonomy places the organism in Eukaryota, Metazoa, Chordata, Aves, Passeriformes, Pipridae. The transcript has 3 exons. The record is from RefSeq and is a predicted model, not a curated record.
CUGUACAAGUCAAAACCACGCCUCUGUUAUUUGACUCUCUUCCCCUGUCUGUGGCUCAACAGACUCAGUUCCGGGAAAUCAUCCACCCGUUGACAGCUGCCCUGCGAGCCCCUUGUUGCUGACAGAGUUGCUUCUUGGGAAGAGAAUUGAGCAAAUUGUGGUGCAAAGAGGCUGCCGAGUGCAUCCACCCCACAGAGCCCAGGGAACGUCAGCCCCGGGCCAUGAGGUUUCUGUGCC